GGGCGCUUAGCUCAGGGGGAGAGCGCUUGCUUGACAUGCAAGAGGUCGCUGGUUCAAAUCCAGCAGCGCCCACCA
This 75-nucleotide transfer RNA is filed under the name Alphaproteobacteria bacterium. RNAcentral's name for it is "tRNA-Val". It matches the Rfam family "tRNA". From Rfam's summary of the family: Transfer RNA (tRNA) molecules are approximately 80 nucleotides in length. Their secondary structure includes four short double-helical elements and three loops (D, anti-codon, and T loops). RNAcentral also lists the same sequence under 1 other name. The record is from RNAcentral. Lineage: Bacteria; Pseudomonadati; Pseudomonadota; Alphaproteobacteria.